This 73-nucleotide transfer RNA is filed under the name Ixodes scapularis (black-legged tick). Its description in RNAcentral is "tRNA-Tyr". The record is from RNAcentral. Lineage: Eukaryota; Metazoa; Arthropoda; Arachnida; Ixodida; Ixodidae.
UCCUGGUUAGCUCAGUUGGUGCCGCGCUCCACAGUAAAUGGAGAGGUCCCAGGUUCGGUACCAGGACUGGGUG